This is a long non-coding RNA of Loxodonta africana (African savanna elephant), 5178 nucleotides long. RefSeq lists it as uncharacterized. The transcript is spliced from 2 exons. The record is from RefSeq and is a predicted model, not a curated record. NCBI's taxonomy places the organism in Eukaryota, Metazoa, Chordata, Mammalia, Proboscidea, Elephantidae.
ACGUCCUCAGCGCAAACGCCACUUCUCGGAGAGGGCCCCUAAAGUGGAAGGGGAUAAUUGUCAGAACAGAGGAACAUAGGUCCGACGUCGGGCAAAAUUCCAGGGCCAUUUGGGGCUGAAAUGAGGAGCCUGGAAGUUGGCGGCGAUUUCCUCAGCUGCGCGCAGCGGGGGUGGAGUGGAGGGAAAUGGCCCCAUGGCCUUGUUUGUCCAUUUGGACGGUGUUCAUGCUGUUGAAACGGGAAAACAGUCCAGCCAAAAAAACUCUGGAUCGAAGAGGGACAUGAACACGCAGAACUUGGAUUCCACAUAAAUCGUGUGAUUUAAAAUCUGCUCACUCCCCCCCUGCUCUCACCUGCUGUCUGUGGGGGAAGCCACCUGCCAUGUCUGAGAACCCUCAAGCACACUUAUGGGGGAAUCUACCUCGUGAGGAACUGAGGCCUCCUGCCCACAGACAGCGCCAACUCACUAUCCAUAUGACUGAGGCUCCCUUGAGGGUGAUCCUCCAGCGCCCCUUAAGUCUUCAGAUGGAAGCAGCUUUGGCCAGUAUCUUGACAGCAACUUCAUGAGAGACUCCAAGCAGGAAUCACUCAGCUAACUGCUUCUGAAUUCCUGACCCAGGGAAUCUGUGUGAGAUAAUAAAUGCGUCUAAUUUUGGAAAGCUGCUAAUUUUGGAAAUCAUUUGUCACAUAGUAAUAGGUCAUUAAUAUACCAUUUAACAUUAUUUUAUUUACUUAUCUUGCUUUUGUCUACCUGUCUUAACUAGAAUAUUAGCUGCAGGAGAUCAGGAAUAUUUCUCCUUUUUGUUCACUGUAGAAUCCCCAGCACCUAGAACAAUUUCUCCAUAACAACCCCCAGAGAUAUGUACUGUUAUCCCCAUUUUACAAAUAGGGAAACUGGGACACAGUAAGGUUAAAUAACAUAUCCAAGAUCAUGUAGUCAGAGCCACACUUUUCUCCACUGUGUAAUAUGCUUAACCAGAGCUCUGCACUGCCCCACUUCUGUGCACGGUGUCCUGUAUUAUGUGCAAGACAAAAUGAUAGUUAUUAUUGGGGGUAUAGCUGAAUUUAAGGCAUGGUCUCUACUCUGAUGCAGUUAACAGUCCAACUGGGAAAACAGAAGAAGUAUCAGAUAACUACAACAUAGAGUGGGAUUUGAUGAGUGUCAUAUGAAUGUGUAUUGGCCAUGAAAGGGUAACUCAGCCUCUUUUCCAAGAAGAGUGGCUACCUGUGGUUCUUAUGCUUAGGUCCCAUGGUUUGUGCCAUAUGACGUUAACCACCCUAGCCACAACUAAUUGAAAUAGGGAUAAUUGCCUAAGUCAAAGGCUGAGUGGACAGUAGCACAGAGGGUUGCUGGUAUAAGAACUCUAAGAGGCCUAUUUGACUGCUGAGAUAGUAUACUUGGCUUUUUUAAUACCCCAUGUAUCCUUACAACAAAUCUUGAUUAUCUGGGGUAGCCUGAGCAUGUCUUUAGUGCUGUAACCAGAAAAGACCCCUCAUACAGAGUAGAGUACAAAGUCCUGUAGAAGUUCAGAGGAGUCAGAGGUUACAGGAAGGAAAGGGUUGGAUAUUUCAUGGAGAAUUGACACAUGACUUGUCACAGAAAGAAAAAUAUACUUUAAUAAUAGAUAACUAGAGAUCAUAGUUCAUUGUCAUUUAUAAAGUCUAAGAACUACAAGUAUACAAAGAUGUAAUUUGUAUAUUUUAUUUGACUUGGGUGGUGGUGUGGGUUGAACUGUGUCACCCAAAAAGAUAUGUUAAAGUCUUAAUCCCCAGUACCUGUGAAUAUCACCUUGUUUGGAAAUAGGGUCUUUGCAGAUGUAAUCAAGUGAGAUGAGUUAUGUCUUUCACAAAGCUGUUUCUCAGCAAAUAUUUGUUGGCUGGAGAUGGAUAGAGAAUUAUUGAAAACUUGUUCAAAAGUGUAAAAGAGGGAAUUCUGCUCUGACUGUGAUCGAGUAGCCUGUAGCAGACUAAUAUUCUCACUAAGAACAACUAGAAAAUCUGGAUAAAAUUCCAAAAGAAUUGUAUUUACAGGCAUCAGAUUGCUGCUAUGGCAGUUCGUUGAGGUGAGUCCAAAAUUCUUUGUGCUAUUUUUCCCCUUCAGAGAGUUGUUAAAAUCAUAAGCAGCUAAAAACAGAGCUGAGUUUUUGAAAGUCUCAUUGAGUUAAGGAGACAAAUAUUUGAGUUUUAUCUCACAAGGAGGAGGGAUGCUAAUUAAUAUCCACAUUUCAGUUGGGAUCCAUGGAUAUUAGCCGUCUCAAAGACUUAACACCUUCUCAAGUUAACUCAAUCCCUGACUGGAUUCAGGCAACCUUCACUACUCUAGCUGCCUACCAUAAUUCUUUCUGGAGGAGGAUAACAUCAUCUAGGGCCUUUACAACUUUUCCUAUACAAUGUUUGGCAUUUGAUGAAAAAUUACCGGGCAUAAAAAGAAACAGUCCAAGGGGUCGGAGGAUACAGGCCAACAGCUGACCUAGAAAUUAGAGUAAUCAGAAAUGGACUUUAAAAUAACUGUGAAUAAGAAGUUCAAGAAAACAGGUAAUAAGAUUGAGAAUUUAACCAUAGAUCUGAAUUCUAUAAAAAUAUAAACAAAUUAAAAUUCUACAACUGAAAGAUACCUGACAUUAUAAACUCAGCAGAUGCGUUGUAUAGCAUAUUUGUUACAAUUGAAGAGUAGAUUAGUGAACAAAAAAGAAGAAUAUUAUAGAAUGGAGAGCCAAAAGUAUUAAAAAUAUAGAAAAGAGCAAAGAGUAUAUACAGGACAUGCUGAAAAGUCUAACAUAUACCUCAUUUGAGUCAAGAAGGGGAAGAGAGACAGAAUGGACCAGACGAAUUACUUGAAGUGAUAAUGGUCAAAACUUUCCAAAGAUGACAAAUGACAUUAAGUCACAAAUUCAAGAAGAAGUGCAUUAAAUUCUUAGCAGGAUUAAAAAAAUAAAAACAACAUACUACAGUAAAACUGCUAAAAACCAAAGACAAAGAGAAAAAUCUUAAAAGCAGCCAGAGUGGGGAAAACUCAUUAUUUUCAAAAUAGCAACAAUGAUAACAAUGAAUUAUCUACUAUAAUAACUAAAGCACAAACAGCAAAAGACAAAUAAAUGGGACCUCAUAAAAAUUAAAAACUUUUGCUCAAAAAGUCCAUCAAAUGGGCAAAAGGCAGUCUUUUUAACACAUGGUGCUGGCAAAACUGGAUGUCGAUUUGCAAAAAAAACAAAAAAAAACAGGACCCAUACCUCAUACCACACACAAAAACUAAUUCAAAAUGGAUCAAAGACCUAAAUAUAAAAUAAACUGUAAAGAUUAUAGAAGAAAAAAAUAGGAUCAGCGCUAGAGACCUUAAUACAUGCCAUUAACAGGAUACAAACCAUAACUAACAAUGCAUAAACUCCAGAAGACAAGCUAAAUAAUUGGGAUCUUCUAAAAAUUAUACACUUAGGCUCAUCAAAAGAGUUCACCAAAAGAGUAAAAAGAAAAACUACAGACUGGGAAACAUUUUUUGGCUAUGGCAAAUCUGACAAAGUUCUAAUCUCUAAAAUCUGUGGGAAAAUCCAACAUCUCUACAACGAAAAAGACAAUCCAAUUAAAAAAUGGGCAAAGGAAAUGAACAGACACCUCACCAAAGAAGACAUUCAAAUGGAUAACAGACACAUGAGGAAAUGCUCACGAUCACUAGCCAUUAGAGAAAUGUAAAUCAAAACCACAAUGAGAUACCAUCUUACCCCAGCAUGGCUGGCACAAAUCAAAAAACAAAAUAGCAAAUGUUUGAAAGGCUGCCGGGAGAUUGGAACUCUUAUGCCCUGCUGGUGGGAAUGCAAAUUGGCACAACCAUUUUGGAAAAUGAUAUGGUGCUUCCUUAAAAAGCUAGAAAUAGAAAUACCAUAUGAUCCAGCAGUCCCACUCCUAGGAAUAUAUCCUAGAGAAAUAAGAGCUGUCACACGAAUAGACAUGUGCAUACCCAUGUUCACUGCAGCAUUAUUCACAAUAGCAAAAACAUGGAAACAACCUAGAUGCUCAUCAACAGAUAAGCAAACUAUGGUAUAUACACACAAUGGAACACUACACAGUGAUAAAGAACAAUGAUAAAUCUGUGAAGUAUCUCACAAUGUGGGUGAAUCCGGAGGGCAUUAUGCUGAGUGAAAUAAGUCAGUCACAAAAGGACAAAUAUUGUAUGAGACCACUACUAUAAAAACUCAUGAAAAGGUUUACACACAAAAAGAAACAAUCUUUGAUGGUCAUGAGGGAGGGGAGGGGUGAGGAGAGAAAAACACUAGAUAGACAAUAGAUAAAUGGUAACAUUGGUGAAGGGUAAAGCAGUACAAGGCAAGGUCAUGGAAACUUCAUAGACACAUCCAAACUCCACCAUGGUCUUGGGGAACAUCUAGCUCAAUUGGCAUUACAUAGUUUAUAAAGAAACUAUUCUACAUUCUACUUUGGGGAGUAGUGUCUGGGGUCUUAAAAGCUUGUGAGUGGCCAUCUAAGAUACUCCACUGGUCUCACCUUGUUGGCAGCAAGGGAGAAUGAAGAAAACCCAAGACACAAGGGAAAAAUUAGUCCAGAGGACUGAUGGACCACAACUACCACAGCCUCCACUGGACUGAAUCCAACACAGCUAGAUGGUGUCUGGCUAACACCACUGACUGCUCUGACAGGGAUCACAAUAGAGGGUCCCCGACAGAGCUGGAGAAAAAUGUAGAACAAAAUUCUAAAUCACAAAGACCAGACUUACUGGCCUGACAGACACUGGAGAAAACUGCAUGUAUGACCCCGGACACCUUUUUAGCUCAGUAAUAAACUCACCUCUGAGGUUCACCCUUCAUCCAAAGAUUAGACAGGCCCAUAAAACAAAAUGAAACUAAAUGGGCACACAGGCCCAGGGGCAAGGAGUAGAAGGCAGGAGGGGACAGGAAAGCUGGUAACAGGGAACCCAAGGUUGAGAAGGGAGAGUGUUGACAUGUUGUGGGGUUGGUAAGCAGUGUCACAAAACAAUAUGUGUACUAAUUGUUUAAUGAGAAAAAAUAAAGGUCAGAAACUUUGUGAAUAUAGUAAAAACUAUUGUACACUUUAAGUGGGUGAGUUGUAUGACCUGUGAAUUAUAUCUCAAUAAAGUUGUUUUUUGAAAUAGCACAGAAAGAAGAAAACGAGUACAAUAAACCUUUAUGCUAUUAAAAAAAAAAAAAAAAGC